RNAcentral lists this ribosomal RNA (894 nucleotides) under uncultured bacterium. Its description in RNAcentral is "bacterial SSU rRNA". It matches the Rfam family "Bacterial small subunit ribosomal RNA", at positions 8 to 890 of the family's 1533-position model. The record is from RNAcentral.
AGAGUUUGAUCCUGGCUCAGGUUGAACGCUGGCGGCAUGCCUAACACAUGCAAGUCGAACGGCAGCACGAUUGAGUACUUGUACUCGAUGGGUGGCGAGUGGCGAACGGGUGAGUAAUGCGCAGGAAUAUGCCUUGAAGAGGGGGAUAACUUGGGGAAACUCAAGCUAAUACCGCAUAUGCUCUGAGGAGCAAAGCUGGGGACCUUCGGGCCUGGCGCUUUGAGAAUAGCCUGCGUCCGAUUAGCUAGUUGGUAGGGUAAAGGCCUACCAAGGCCACGAUCGGUAGCUGGUCUGAGAGGAUGAACAGCCACACUGGGACUGAGACACGGCCCAGACUCCUACGGGAGGCAGCAGUGGGGAAUAUUGGACAAUGGGGGCAACCCUGAUCCAGCAAUGCCGCGUGUGUGAAGAAGGCCUGAGGGUUGUAAAGCACUUUCAGUGGGGAGGAGGAUUACUAGGUUAAGAGCUGAGUAAUUGGACGUUACCCACAGAAGAAGCACCGGCUAACUCCGUGCCAGCAGCCGCGGUAAUACGGAGGGUGCGAGCGUUAAUCGGAAUGACUGGGCGUAAAGGGUGCGUAGGUGGUUUAUUAAGUUGUUGGUGAAAUCUCCGGGCUUAACCUGGGGUUGACGAAUAAAACUGAUGAACUCGAGUAUAGGAGAGGGUAGUGGAAUUUCCGGUGUAGCGGUGAAAUGCGUAGAGAUCGGAAGGAACACCAGUUGCGAAGGCGGCUACCUGGCCUGGUACUGACACUGAGGCACGAAAGCGUGGGGAGCAAACAGGAUUAGAUACCCUGGUAGUCCACGCCGUAAACGAUGUCAACUAGCUGUUUCUCAUAUAAAGAUGGGGAGUGCGAAGCUAACGCGAUAGUUGACGCCUGGGAGUACGGUCGCA